AAUAGGAAAUUUAAGGGCGUAUGGUGGAUGCCUUGGCUCCAAGAAGGUGAUGAAGGACGUGGCUUGGCGGCGAUACGCUACGGGGAGGUGCCUAGCAACCUUUGAUCCGUAGAUGUCCGAAUGGGGGAACCCGUCUGCUAUUGCAGACACCCUAUCAAUUAGAUAGGGAACGCACCCAGUGAAGUAAAACAUUUCAGUAACUGGAGGAAAAGAGAACAAUUGUUAUUUCGUUAGUAGCGGCGAGCGAAAACGAAACAGCCCAAACUUAGUUUCAUUCUCACCACAUCUUUAGUGGUGUUGUGGGAAUGAUGCUGAGGGUUAUAAGGUGGUAAUGUCUCAACUUCGGUUGAGAGAAGAGUUAAAAAAUAUCUGGUUAGGCGAAGCUUCUGGAAAGUAGCACCCAAGUGGGUAAUAGUCCCGUAGCCGAAAAUCGGAUGUCUCUUUUGUUACCGUCCUUGAGUACCUCGAGACACGAAUAGCUCGGGGGAAUGUGCCGGGACUAACCGGUAAGGCUAAAUACUCUUGGAGACCGAUAGUGAACUAGUACCGUGAGGGAAAGGUGAAAAGCAGCCCGAGAGGGCGGUGAAAUAGACCUGAAACCAUAUGUUUACAAGGAGUCAAUGAGGUUUCGCCGUAAGGCGAAACCUCUAUGGCGUGCCUAUUGAAGAAUGAGCCAACGAGUUUUAGCAUACUGCGCGGCUAAGCGCCGAUAAAGCGUGGAGCCAUAGGGAAACCGAGUGUGAAUAGCGCGUUUAUCCCGCCUUUGGCGGGGUUGGUAGUAUGCUAAAGACCCGAAGCCAGAGCGAGCUUGUCAUGAGCAGGGUGAACAGAACCGAAAGGUUCUGGGAGGCCCGAACCGUUGAGCCGUGCAAUACUCUCGGAUGACUUGUGAUAAGAAGUGAAAAGCUAAUCGAGCCUGGUAAUAGCUGGUUCUCUCCGAAAUAACUUUUGGGUUAGCGUCGAGUGUUUCCAUCAGUGGUAGAGCACUGGAAGGUCUGGACUGGUCGCAAGAUCGCCGGACCUAUCAAACUCCGAAUACUGAUGAUUAAUAGCUCGGCAGUUAGACUCCGGGGGCUAAGCUCCGGCGGUCAAAAAGGAAACAGCCUAGAUCUCUAUUUAAGGUCCCUAAAGUCAUUCUAAGUGCACUUAAGGAGGUGAAAUUUCUCUGACACUGAGUAGGUAGGCUUAGAAGCAGCCAUCCUUUAAAGAAAGCGUAACAGCUCACUCAGUAAGAGAUUUUGCACCGCAGAUUCAUGGGGCUAAGCAUGGUACCGAAACUGAGGAUUUGGAUGCUGAUUUUAACCCUGCUGAUACUUAACCUGCCAGGUUGAGAAUUCUUAAACCUGGCAGGUUUGAGCAGGGUUGGGACCAGCAUCCAAGUGGUAGGAGAGUAUUCCGAUCUGCAGUGAAGGCGAAGGGGUGACCCACGCUGGAGCGUUCGGAAGUAAGAAUGUUGGCACAAGUAA
Molecule: ribosomal RNA, 1466 nt
Filed under: bacterium
Lineage: Bacteria
Description: partial 23S ribosomal RNA
Rfam family: Bacterial large subunit ribosomal RNA
Source: RNAcentral